CUGCUGAACUUUGUUAUGCACAUUCCGCUAUGCAGAUUAUAUAUAAUCAAUAUGUGAAUAUGUGUCAUUUUCUAUAGUUGAUUUCGGGGACUUUGAUCAGUAUGAAUCCCAGGACUUUCUUCAGAAAUUUGCCUUAUUUCCUGUGGGGUGGCUGCAAGAUGAAAAAGUGUUGGAAGAAGCAACCCAAAAGGUGGCCUUGCUACAUCAAAAAUACAGGUAACACCAAGAAAUAAGGCAUAGUCUACACCUUGUAUACAUAGAAUAACUAUUGG
Molecule: long non-coding RNA, 272 nt
Filed under: Fukomys damarensis (Damara mole-rat)
Lineage: Eukaryota; Metazoa; Chordata; Mammalia; Rodentia; Bathyergidae
Description: lncRNA (ENSFDAG00000031354.1)
Source: RNAcentral